This 430-nucleotide ribosomal RNA is filed under the name uncultured bacterium. Its description in RNAcentral is "bacterial SSU rRNA". It matches the Rfam family "Bacterial small subunit ribosomal RNA", at positions 355 to 776 of the family's 1533-position model. The record is from RNAcentral.
UGGGGAAUAUUGCGCAAUGGGCGAAAGCCUGACGCAGCAACGCCGCGUGAGCGAUGAAGGCCCUCGGGUUGUAAAGCUCUGUUGGAAGGAAAGAUGGGUUUAAGAGUUAAUACCUCUUAGAUUUGACGGUACCUUCAAAGAAAGCACCGGCUAACUCUGUGCCAGCAGCCGCGGUAAUACAGAGGGUGCAAGCGUUGUUCGGAAUCAUUGGGCGUAAAGCGCGCGUAGGCGGCCAAAUAAGUCUGAUGUGAAAGCCCAGGGCUCAACCCUGGAAGUGCAUCGGAAACUGUUUGGCUCGAGUCCCGGAGGGGGUGGUGGAAUUCCUGGUGUAGAGGUGAAAUUCGUAGAUAUCAGGAGGAACACCGGUGGCGAAGGCGACCACCUGGACGGUGACUGACGCUGAGGUGCGAAAGCAUGGGUAGCAAACAGG